AGGAUCAACGCUGGCGGCGUGCCUAAUGCAUGCAAGUCGAACGGGGUACCCUUCGGGGUACUUACGUGGCGGACGGGUGAGGAACACGUGGGCAACCUGCCUGAUGGAGGGGGAUAACCGCUGGAAACAGUGGGUAAUACCGCAUAAUCUUUUCGCACGAGUGGGUGUGGGAAGGAAAGUCGCAAGACGCCGACAGAGGGGCCUGCGUCCGAUUAGCUAGACGGUGGGUAACGGCCUACCGUGGCGAUGAUCGGUAGCUGGUUUGAGAGGAUGAUCAGCCACACGGGGACUGAGACACGGCCCCGACUCCUACGGGAGCAGCAGCAAGGAAUUUCCGACAAUGGGACGAAAGCCUGAACGGAGCAACGCCGCGUAGUGGGAUGACGCUUUUCGGAGUGUAAACCACUGUUCGUGGGAACGAAGUACUGACCGGUACCACGGAGAACGGCCGCAACUACGUGCCAGCGAGCCGAC
RNAcentral lists this ribosomal RNA (474 nucleotides) under uncultured soil bacterium. Its description in RNAcentral is "bacterial SSU rRNA". It matches the Rfam family "Bacterial small subunit ribosomal RNA", at positions 26 to 518 of the family's 1533-position model. The record is from RNAcentral.